UGAUCACAUCUUUGAGAUGGUACCUGUACAGUUUAAUUUCCAAUGAGCUGCAGAAAAGAUGUACCCUUCCAAAGCUACAAACCAUAAAACUGAAGUCGUGCACUUCCCACACCAAGGUAAUUUAUGACACACCCUAUAUCAGCCAGGUCAUGCCAAGUCCAAGUUCUGAUAAAGGCACAUUGGAUUGCAUGAGCAGCUGGAACUCCAGUAUAACUAAUGCAGUGUGAGAAGAUAGAAUUUAGGAAUUA
Molecule: unclassified non-coding RNA, 248 nt
Filed under: Hevea brasiliensis (rubber tree)
Lineage: Eukaryota; Viridiplantae; Streptophyta; Magnoliopsida; Malpighiales; Euphorbiaceae
Source: RNAcentral